AGCAACAUCAAACUGUUCAAACUGUCACAGCUGGACGUGGACAUGAUGUUACUCUGCCUUGUAAAAAUGUGAUACAAGGUCAGCAUAACUGUAACAGUACUACCUGGAUCUUCGGUGAUUCAAGCAGCUCAGUAUCACUCUUUGAACUUGGGCAGAAUAAAGAAGUCAAACGUAAAUCAGACAGACUGAGUGUUUCUGCAGACUGUUCUCUGGUUAUAAAGAAGGUCACAGAUCAGGAUGUUGGUUGUUACACCUGCAGACAGUUCAAAACAAGAGGAGGAUCACAAGAAGGUCCAGACUUUAUGAUUCAUCUGUCUGUUAUUAACAGUGAAGAUGUUACAACAACCAAAUCAACAACAAUGAAGUCCACCACAAAAAUAUCAUCAGCAAGAAAAUCUACAACAUCAACAAUUAAACCAACAUUAAAUAUCAUAAACUUAUGGACAAAAAAUGAGGAAGUAAAGACAUCAGAAGGUAGAAAUUGCAUCAUUUACUGAAGUCUAACGUCUGCAGAUGGACUCUGGGGUUUGGCUGGAGAGUUUCUUGGUUCAGUUUCAUGAAACAACUUAAAAUUUUAAGGUGUUGAAAUGUUCAGUUUUUCAGUAUUACAAACUUUAAGAAUAACACUAUACAUUAUGUGAAACAUAUAUUGUUAAUAAAAAAAUAAUAA
Molecule: long non-coding RNA, 670 nt
Organism: Oreochromis aureus
Lineage: Eukaryota; Metazoa; Chordata; Actinopteri; Cichliformes; Cichlidae
Source: Ensembl